Long non-coding RNA from Oncorhynchus tshawytscha (Chinook salmon), 318 nucleotides. NCBI's taxonomy places the organism in Eukaryota, Metazoa, Chordata, Actinopteri, Salmoniformes, Salmonidae. The record is from Ensembl.
UGUUUGAUGAGCUGAGAGAAGCGUGGGUGUUUGAUGAGCUGAGAGAGGCGUGGGUGUUUGAUGAGCUGAGAGAGGCGCGGGUGUUUGAUGAGCUGAUGAGCUGAGAGAGGCGCGGGUGUUUGAUGAGCUGAGAGAAGUGGGGGUGUUUGAUGAGCUGAUGAGCUGAGAGAGGCGCGGGUGUUUGAUGAGCUGAGAGAAGUGGGGGUGUUUGAUGAGCUGAUGAGCUGAGAGAGGCGCGGGUGUUUGAUGAGCUGAGAGAGGCGCGGGUGUUUGAUGAGCUGAGAGAAGUGGGGGUGUUUGAUGAGCUGAGAGAGGCGC